UUUUGUUUAACUAUGGCAAUAGGAAAUAGUUAGUAUUUUAGCUGCAUAAAAAAAUUUUUUCUUUUUAAUUUAAGAUUUCAUCUUAGUCAUUAGCAGUUAAUUUUUUAGUAAAACUUACGUUUUUUAAGAAAAUACUAUAAAAAGGGGAUAGGACACAGUGCCAGCAUCCGCGGUUAUUCUGUUUUCUUUGUUUUCUUAUGAAUUUUAAUUAAAUAAAUAGUAUGAAGGUUUGGUGAAAUUUUCUUAGUAUAUUUUAUAGUUAUUUAGUUAAUGAAAAGAUAGUUUGGUACGACAGGGAUUAGAUACCCCAUUAGUCACUAUUUUAAUAAUAUUCUGGUUUUAUAACUAAAAUAGUUUGGCAGCGAGUUACUCCUUUCGGGGGAAGGUGCGUUAUAAAGGACGAUCCGCCAAGUAAUUAACCUUUUCUAUGUUGGUGUAUAUCUGGUUGAACAUUAUUGCUGUAAUAGCAUAAUUUGUGUAAUGAACAUUAAGCCAAGUCUAUGUGCUGCAUGUUUAGGUUAUCGUGCGUUACUUUAAUAAUAGUUAAUUUGUAAUAUUUAACAAUUUAGGACUCGAAAGUAAUAUUAAAUUAGUAUGUUAAUGUGAAAUGGGUUUAACUCGGGUACACACCGCCCGUCACCCUCGACUUUUGUUGAGGUAAGUCGUAACAUGGUAACCCCAAAUGAAUUUGGGGUUAAUUACACUUAUUU
RNAcentral lists this non-coding RNA (710 nucleotides) under Rhinebothroides sp. MZUSP 8019. Lineage: Eukaryota; Metazoa; Platyhelminthes; Cestoda; Rhinebothriidea; Rhinebothriidae. RNAcentral also lists the same sequence under 2 other names. The record is from RNAcentral.